AUGAUUGGAAUAAGAAUAAGGCAGACUUGCACGAGGCAGGAACGAGGCCGUGUCGGUCGUCUGAGGUGGUCAGGCUGGUGCUGGAGUACGCUCACGGUUUUUUAUGGAGUGUGCAACCCGGAGAUUUUAUGUUGGAACGUCCGCGGGUUAAAUAAUCCCGCGAAAAGGAAGGCGGUUAGGGAGUUCUUGGCCUCGGUCAAGGUCAACUUAGUGUGUCUCCAGGAAACCAAACUGGAUGUUAUCGACCCUUUCAUGGCUAUGCAAUGUUUAGGCCCGUCCCUGGACGGUUUCGCUUACUUACCUGCUGUGGAGGCCCGUGGUGGUGUGCUCCUUGCUUGGGACACCACGGUGAUUACCUUGGAUCAAUGUUGUUUCAUAUUUGGGCAGCAGCACCACCCCCUUUGGCAUUUCAGCAACGCCACAAACUUUGGCAUUUCUACCCUGCAACGUAGCAUCUCAACCAGGCCAGCAACGCGGGCGUGUUUGGCGUUUUUAUAUAGUGCGGCAACGCCACAGCUCGUGGCGUUUUUGAAAAGUGUCAGAUCGUCAAAUAGUUUUGUAUGGACAUUCAGCUAG
Molecule: ribosomal RNA, 576 nt
Filed under: Triticum aestivum (bread wheat)
Lineage: Eukaryota; Viridiplantae; Streptophyta; Magnoliopsida; Poales; Poaceae
Description: partial small subunit ribosomal RNA
Source: RNAcentral